GAGGGUUUAGCUCAGUGGUAGAGCAUGUGCUUGACAUGCAGGAAGUGGUGAGUUCAAUCCUCA
RNAcentral lists this transfer RNA (63 nucleotides) under Camelus bactrianus (Bactrian camel). It matches the Rfam family "tRNA", at positions 1 to 62 of the family's 71-position model. From Rfam's summary of the family: Transfer RNA (tRNA) molecules are approximately 80 nucleotides in length. Their secondary structure includes four short double-helical elements and three loops (D, anti-codon, and T loops). The record is from Rfam by way of RNAcentral. Lineage: Eukaryota; Metazoa; Chordata; Mammalia; Artiodactyla; Camelidae. RNAcentral also lists the same sequence under 2 other names.